ACUGGAGUUUGAUCUGGCUCAGAUUGAACGCUGGCGGAAUGCUUUACACAUGCAAGUCGAACGGUAGAGGGGGCAACCCCUUGAGAGUGGCGAACGGGUGAGUAAUAUAUCGGAACUUGCCCAGUCGUGGGGGAUAACGUAGCGAAAGUUACGCUAAUACCGCAUACGAUCUAAGGAUGAAAGCGGGGGAUCGCAAGAGCCUCGCGCGAUUGGAGCGGCCGAUAUCAGAUUAGCUAGUUGGUGGGGUAAAGGCCCACCAAGGCUACGAUCCAUAGCUGGUCUGAGAGGAUGACCAGCCACACU
This 303-nucleotide ribosomal RNA is filed under the name uncultured Limnohabitans sp. RNAcentral's name for it is "bacterial SSU rRNA". It matches the Rfam family "Bacterial small subunit ribosomal RNA", at positions 1 to 314 of the family's 1533-position model. Lineage: Bacteria; Pseudomonadati; Pseudomonadota; Betaproteobacteria; Burkholderiales; Comamonadaceae. The record is from RNAcentral.